AUCCAGUUGAUGAGUCCCAAAUAGGACGAAACGCGCUUCCCGGAU
This 45-nucleotide non-coding RNA is filed under the name Schistosoma haematobium. Lineage: Eukaryota; Metazoa; Platyhelminthes; Trematoda; Strigeidida; Schistosomatidae. The record is from RNAcentral.